Molecule: ribosomal RNA, 253 nt
Filed under: uncultured bacterium
Lineage: Bacteria
Description: partial 16S ribosomal RNA
Rfam family: Bacterial small subunit ribosomal RNA
Source: RNAcentral
UACGAGGGGGGCAAAUGUUGUUCGGAAUCACUGGGCGUAAAGGGAGCGUAGGCGGGCUUUUAAGUUAGGUGUUUAAUCCCGGGGCCCAACCCCGGUCGUGCACUUAAAACUGGAAGUCUUGAAUAGUGGAGAGGUCAGUGGAAUUGGGGGUGUAGCGGUGGAAUGCGUAGAGAUCCCCAAGAACACCAGUGGCGAAGGCGGCAUCCUGGUCUGCGACUGACGCUGUGGCGCGAAAGCUAGGGGAGCGAACGGG